This 73-nucleotide transfer RNA is filed under the name Camelus bactrianus (Bactrian camel). It matches the Rfam family "tRNA". Rfam says of the family: Transfer RNA (tRNA) molecules are approximately 80 nucleotides in length. Their secondary structure includes four short double-helical elements and three loops (D, anti-codon, and T loops). The record is from Rfam by way of RNAcentral. Lineage: Eukaryota; Metazoa; Chordata; Mammalia; Artiodactyla; Camelidae. RNAcentral also lists the same sequence under 1 other name.
GGGUAUAUAGCUGAAGUGGAAGAGCACAUGCUUAGCAUGCACGAGGUCCUAGGUUCAAUCCCCAGUACUUCCU